AUUUGAUGAUGUGGGCAUUGAAUUUGCAACUCGCCAAAUCUUUCCCAAGCUUCAAAGAAUUCCUCCGUAUGCUUUUGUCUAAAAGUUUGGAUCUUGUUUCUUAACU
RNAcentral lists this small nucleolar RNA (106 nucleotides) under Thalictrum thalictroides. Its description in RNAcentral is "Plant small nucleolar RNA R71". It matches the Rfam family "Plant small nucleolar RNA R71". Rfam says of the family: R71 is a member of the C/D box family of snoRNAs containing the C (UGAUGA) and D (CUGA) box motifs. Multiple nearly identical copies of this snoRNA have been identified in Arabidopsis, and it is thought to function as a 2'-O-ribose methylation guide for 18S ribosomal RNA. Lineage: Eukaryota; Viridiplantae; Streptophyta; Magnoliopsida; Ranunculales; Ranunculaceae. The record is from Rfam by way of RNAcentral.